CCCUGUAGGCACGGGAGUCCCGGGUAACCAGCGGGACUGAGAGUGGGCACCUUGGACCUGCCCUGACCGUCACACCUGAUCCGGGUCAUGCCGGCGAAGGGAGCAAGGAUGUCAGCACC
Molecule: non-coding RNA, 119 nt
Filed under: Mycobacterium kansasii
Lineage: Bacteria; Bacillati; Actinomycetota; Actinomycetes; Mycobacteriales; Mycobacteriaceae
Description: TPP sequence
Rfam family: TPP riboswitch aptamer (THI element)
About the family: Vitamin B(1) in its active form thiamin pyrophosphate (TPP) is an essential coenzyme that is synthesised by coupling of pyrimidine and thiazole moieties in bacteria. The previously detected thiamin-regulatory element, thi box was extended, resulting in a new, highly conserved RNA secondary structure, the THI element, which is widely distributed in eubacteria and also occurs in some archaea.
Source: RNAcentral